AUGUGCGCCGGCGCGCGGGUGGUCGUGGUGGAGGCGGCCGCCGCCUUCGUCCUCCACCUCCUCCUAACGCGCACGCUCGCCGCGGGGUGGCGGUGGGGCCAUGCUCCUUGCUCUCGCGCACCCGUACUCGCACUCGGCAGCGGGGCCAUCCUUGCGGAGCACGCGCCGGCGGUGACGCUCUUCGGGCACCCCCGCAGCUGGCUGAGCCUGGCCAUCCAUGAGGACACGCGGGCGCCGACGGCGUUCCUUAUCGAGAUGCCCAUGCUGGCGGCGGCGCUGCACAGGGGAUGGCCACGGGACCUUGAAGCUGGCGCCGGAGAGCAACAGUCGCAGCGUGCGGCGACGGCUCCUGUCCAACGACGAGCGGCACGUGCUGCGGCUGCUGCGCGGGCGCCGGGGUGCUGCCGCCGCCGCCUGCUGACGGCUCCAACUGCCCGACGGCGUCCUACUAAUCCCGCUGGCUGCAGCGUUGAAGCAAUGAUAUCAGUGUGCGCAUAUGGAGCGAGAGAAGGGAGCGAGAUGCAGACGCAUCGGUGGAGACGAAUUGAUAAUAAACUAGCGGUGAAGGACCCGUUUUCUUUUUGA
Molecule: ribosomal RNA, 585 nt
Filed under: Triticum aestivum (bread wheat)
Lineage: Eukaryota; Viridiplantae; Streptophyta; Magnoliopsida; Poales; Poaceae
Description: partial small subunit ribosomal RNA
Source: RNAcentral